UCAAAAUAAUUAUUUUUAUAAAAAAAAAAAUUAUCAAUUUAAUUUUUAAAUUAAUUGAAUCAACUCAAAUAGUUAGUUUUAAGCUGAAUUAUUCAAUUUAUCGAAUUGGUUCUCAAUUAAACUAUUGAUUUUGCAUGUCAUCUGAGUUUAGAUAAUUUUAAAUUUUGUGAGGAUAAAGUAGACUGUGAAUUGUCAAGUUUGAUCAGAUGAAAAUUUGACCACUCUAAUUGUGCAAUUGUAUUGUAACAAGUAGUGUUGAAUUGAUGCAGGGGCAUUAUGAAGACGGUAGAG
This 291-nucleotide unclassified non-coding RNA is filed under the name Hevea brasiliensis (rubber tree). The record is from RNAcentral. Lineage: Eukaryota; Viridiplantae; Streptophyta; Magnoliopsida; Malpighiales; Euphorbiaceae.